RNAcentral lists this ribosomal RNA (254 nucleotides) under uncultured bacterium. RNAcentral's name for it is "partial 16S ribosomal RNA". It matches the Rfam family "Bacterial small subunit ribosomal RNA", at positions 524 to 776 of the family's 1533-position model. The record is from RNAcentral.
UACGUAGGGCGCAAGCGUUGUCCGGAAUUAUUGGGCGUAAAGAGCUCGUAGGUGGUUCGGUAAGUCGGAUGUGAAAUCUCCAGGCUCAACCUGGAGGGGUCAUUCGAUACUGCCGUGACUAGAGUUCGGUAGGGGAGUGUGGAAUUCCUGGUGGAGCGGUGAAAUGCGCAGAUAUCGGGAGGAACACCGGUGGCGAAGGCGGGUCUCUGGGCCGAUACUGACGCUGAGGAGCGAAAGCGUGGGGAGCGAACAGG